Molecule: ribosomal RNA, 465 nt
Filed under: Vreelandella stevensii
Lineage: Bacteria; Pseudomonadati; Pseudomonadota; Gammaproteobacteria; Oceanospirillales; Halomonadaceae
Description: partial 16S ribosomal RNA
Rfam family: Bacterial small subunit ribosomal RNA
Source: RNAcentral
CCUACGGGGGGCUGCAGUGGGGAAUAUUGGACAAUGGGGGGAACCCUGAUCCAGCCAUGCCGCGUGUGUGAAGAAGGCCCUCGGGUUGUAAAGCACUUUCAGUGAGGAAGAACGCCUGGUGGUUAAUACCCAUCAGGAAAGACAUCACUCACAGAAGAAGCACCGGCUAACUCCGUGCCAGCAGCCGCGGUAAUACGGAGGGUGCGAGCGUUAAUCGGAAUUACUGGGCGUAAAGCGCGCGUAGGUGGCUUGAUAAGCCGGUUGUGAAAGCCCCGGGCUCAACCUGGGAACGGCAUCCGGAACUGUCAAGCUAGAGUGCAGGAGAGGAAGGUAGAAUUCCCGGUGUAGCGGUGAAAUGCGUAGAGAUCGGGAGGAAUACCAGUGGCGAAGGCGGCCUUCUGGACUGACACUGACACUGAGGUGCGAAAGCGUGGGUAGCAAACAGGAUUAGAUACCCCUCUAGUC